Molecule: ribosomal RNA, 253 nt
Filed under: uncultured bacterium
Lineage: Bacteria
Description: partial 16S ribosomal RNA
Rfam family: Bacterial small subunit ribosomal RNA
Source: RNAcentral
UACGUAUGGUGCGAGCGUUAAUCGGAAUUACUGGGCGUAAAGCGUGCGCAGGCGGUUCGUGAUGUCUGAUGUGAAAGCCCCGGGCUCAACCUGGGAAUUGCAUUGGAAACUAGCGGGCUGGAGUGUGGCAGAGGGGGGUGGAAUUCCACGUGUAGCAGUGAAAUGCGUAGAGAUGUGGAGGAACACCGAUGGCGAAGGCAGCCCCCUGGGCUAACACUGACGCUCAUGCACGAAAGCGUGGGGAGCAAACAGG